Molecule: long non-coding RNA, 1325 nt
Organism: Myotis myotis
Lineage: Eukaryota; Metazoa; Chordata; Mammalia; Chiroptera; Vespertilionidae
Exons: 6
Source: RefSeq, a predicted model, not a curated record
CUUAAUUAAGAUGAGGAAGACUCGGCAAUGGUAGAUGGAGAUGCUGAUGAGUUCCAGAAGGGCUCUCUGCAUUGGAGGAGUUGGGUAGGCAGUGCAAUGGAGCAUCUAAACUGGUGUGGAACAUUUCAUUACCGAGCACUUUAAUCAUGCUCAGAGCUUCCCUGGAGUGGCUGCUCAUGUACCCUGAUCUCCGGGGUCUGCCUCUUCUGGUGCAGUUUUGGGUGCAUUUAGUGGGUGAAUGGCUCUGCUUUCCCCCAGCGCAACUAAAGAGGGCAUGUCCAAGACAACACCUUCCAGAGCUUGCCCUGGACUCUGUCAGCUGUGUGGCUUUUAUAACCAUCAUCAGCAUGCCAGGCAUCCCUCUAGUGUCCAAGUUUUCCCCUGCAGCCCAGUGAUUUACAUAGCAUCCUUUCUGUAUGCAACAGCCUCCUCUGUUCUCUGUACCUAAACCCUUCCUUUUCUUUAAUAGGGAGCUUGAAUGUCACCUCUUCCAGGCACUGCUCACCCCACUCCAUGCUCUCUGCCUCUGCAUGCCUUCUGCUUUCCCGGGAAAACUGCUGUGAUCUACUCUGAUGGGUAGGAGCAGAUGUGGAAGCCUCAGCCUGGAGUCCCAUGCUACUCAACUGAAAAUUCUGCUCACUGUGGCCCCUCUUCCAGAGCCCGAACCCUGAACCAUGUGGGUUGUGAGUCACUCACAUCUGGCACCUCGAUGAGGGAAAUCUGGAAAAGACUUUGCCUAGAGCAAAAGACGAAGAUUUCACUGGAUAGGUGGGGGAAAAAUUUCACUGGACAGGUUGGGAAUUUCACCACAUGCAAAGCCCAUGGUCAGCUGCAGAAAUCUCGAUCUGAAUAACUUCAAACCCUGAAUUGGGUAUCCAAUCAUACUGCUGAACUCACCAAAGGAAGAAGUUCGGGUUCCCAUUUGUUUUCAUAACACAUAACUGUUUGUGGAACAAUAGGAGAGUCUUCCAGCGUGAAGUCUUCACUGGUUUGCACACCUUUUGUACACUGGAUUUACUGGCAAUUACAUAACUUGAGAACAAUUCUGACAGAGAGAGAGACAAAAACAUAAAUGAUGAGGGUUGGCUGCCUCCUGCAUCCGGGGGCAUGUGUCCCAACCAGGGAUCGAACCAAGACCUCCUAGUUCAUGGGUCAAGCUCAACCACUGAGCCACGGUGGCUGGACAACAAACCUUGUCUCUAUAAGUGCUGAAGAUGAUAUUGGAAUUUUGUAAAUUAUACUGUAUCACUGUAUAAAAUAUUAAGUUUUCAUCUAAUAAAUAUUAUAAGUUGAAUAUAAUGAUUUAAAAUAAAAUGCUUACCUUU